RNAcentral lists this ribosomal RNA (527 nucleotides) under Frontonia sinica. RNAcentral's name for it is "eukaryotic LSU rRNA". The stretch from base 151 to 296 matches the Rfam family "5.8S ribosomal RNA". The record is from RNAcentral. Lineage: Eukaryota; Ciliophora; Oligohymenophorea; Peniculida; Frontoniidae.
GUAGGUGAACCUGCGGAAGGAUCAUUACACAUGCCUAGUGCAUAAUCCAACCUUAACUUAGAUUGUUUUCCCCAUUGAGAGUUUACUGUCAUUGGGGUUUAUUUUACUUGCUUUAAUGUUUCAUUUAUUUUGCGAGAUAAAAUAAAAGAAAAUUUUCAACGAUGGAUAUCUGGGUUCCCAUACCGAUGAAGAACGCAGCGAACUGCGAUAAGCAAUGCGAAUAGCAGAAUUCCGCGAGACAUCAGAUUUUCGAACGCAUCUGGCGCUAACUCGUUAGCAUGUUUGUUUCAGUGUGUUAGAAGAGCAUAUCUUAUCAAUUCAAAUAAAUGCGAUUGAAAUUUUAAUUUCUUUCGUUAAAUUAGAAGUGUGAGUCUAGAAAUAGCCUCCAAAACGAAGUAGUCACAUUUGAUGUAUCUCGUUUUGGGAUCAAGGUAUUUCUAAUAUAGAUUAACACUAAAAAAAUAAAUUCUUCUUUGUCAACACCUGAAAUCAAGCAAGAUAACCCGCUGAACUUAAGCAUAUCAGUA